UUGCUGAAGAGUCCCAUAAUAGGACGAAACAGCUGUCCAG
Molecule: non-coding RNA, 40 nt
Filed under: Schistosoma bovis
Lineage: Eukaryota; Metazoa; Platyhelminthes; Trematoda; Strigeidida; Schistosomatidae
Also listed under: 1 other name
Source: RNAcentral